This is a small nuclear RNA of Suricata suricatta (meerkat), 104 nucleotides long. NCBI's taxonomy places the organism in Eukaryota, Metazoa, Chordata, Mammalia, Carnivora, Herpestidae. The record is from Ensembl.
GUGCUCACUUCAGCACAUAUACUAAAAUUGGAAUGAUACAGAUUAGAUUAGCAUAGCCCCUGCCUAAGAAUGACACACAGAUUCAUGAAGUAUUCCAUAUUAAG